UUAAAACCAUUCAUUUGAAAUUAAAUUAUUAAUUUUUGUAAUUUUUUUUAUUGCUUUUAAAUUUAAGUAUGAAUAAAAUUCAUGCUAACUCUGGUAUUGAUCCACUAUCUGUUAAAGUAUGUUGUACCAGUGUAGAAUCUUAUAUAAGAUGUGUUGAAUAUGGAAAAGGAAAGGCUAACCAUAAAACCUUACUUUUGUUGCUGAGAUCAAUAUUAGCUGGUAUAUUUGUUGGGUUAUGUGCUCACGCUGCGACAAUAGCAGGUUGGUUUACUUUUUUACGGUUUCUUAUUCGUGCUGUGUUUGACCAUUCAUUUGUGUUUGCCCAUUCGUUUGUUUUUGACCAUUCAUUUGUGUUCAUUUAUUUUUAUGUUUAUAUAUAUUAGUUUACAUAGGUACAAGCACAAAUGUAUGUGACUAAUAUGCUUAUACUUUUUCGCAUGAUCAUGCAUAUGUGUGUUUUUAUUUUUUAUUUUUAUUUUAUUUUUAUUUCAUUUUUAUUUCAUUUUUAUUUCAUUUUUAUUUCAUUUUUAUUUCAUUUUUAUUUCAUUUUUAUUUCAUUUUUAUUUCAUUUUUAUUUCAUUUUUAUUUCAUUUUUAUUUCAUUUUUAUUUCAUUUUUAUUUUUUUGUUUUUUUUUACAGGGGGAUUGUUUUAUUUCCAUAAACUAAGAGAAUAUGUAGGAAUGUCCAUGAGUUUAUUUGUAUAUGGUUUUACUUUUCCAAUAGCUUUUUUAUCAAUUGUAUGUACGGGUGCAGAUUUAUUUACUGGCAAUACAUUAGCAGUGACUACUGCCUUGUUGCAAAGAAAAAUAAAUAUCUUACAAUAUGCACGCGUUAUGACGACAUCAUUCCUAGGAAAUUAUGUAGGAGCUACUGUUUUUGCUUUUUUGAUUUCAUAUGGAUCAGGCGCUUUUGCACAAAAUGCAGAUAUAGAUAAAAAUCAUCUUUUUCAAUUUCUAAACGAUGUAGCUGUAAAAAAAGUUCACCAUUCUUUUCAUUCGUGUAUAGCUUUAGCUAUUGGUUGUAAUCUGUUUGUCUGUUUAGCUCUUUACUUUAUUAUAUCUAUUAAAGAUGGUUCAGGGGUGAUUUUUGGUGCAUUUUUUGCUGUAUAUGCAUUUGCAAUAGCAGGAUAUGAGCACAUUAUUGCAAAUAUAUAUACCUUAAAUAUUGCAUUAAUGGCUAAAACCAAUGUCACAUUUUAUGAGGUUUAUUUCAAAAACCUGUUACCUACCUUAAUUGGAAAUUGUAUUGCGGGUAUUGUUUUCUUAGCCAUACCAUUACAUACUUUGUACAGAACUAAAUACAAUCAGUAUGAAGAAAUAGAAAAAGAAAAGAAUGAUAGCGUUAUGAAAUCGUAAUAAAUGAAUAGAAGAAAAAAAAAAAAAAAAAUAGCAAACGAAUGAACCUAUG
RNAcentral lists this long non-coding RNA (1407 nucleotides) under Piliocolobus tephrosceles (Ugandan red Colobus). Its description in RNAcentral is "lncRNA (ENSPTEG00000015672.1)". Lineage: Eukaryota; Metazoa; Chordata; Mammalia; Primates; Cercopithecidae. The record is from RNAcentral.